RNAcentral lists this ribosomal RNA (301 nucleotides) under uncultured bacterium. RNAcentral describes it as "partial 16S ribosomal RNA". It matches the Rfam family "Bacterial small subunit ribosomal RNA", at positions 509 to 807 of the family's 1533-position model. The record is from RNAcentral.
CAGUCGCCACGGUAAAACGUAGGUGGCAAGCGUUGUCCGGAAUUAUUGGGCGUAAAGGGCUCGCAGGCGGUUUCUUAAGUCUGAUGUGAAAGCCCCCGGCUCAACCGGGGAGGGUCAUUGGAAACUGGGAAACUUGAGUGCAGAAGAGGAGAGUGGAAUUCCACGUGUAGCGGUGAAAUGCGUAGAGAUGUGGAGGAACACCAGUGGCGAAGGCGACUCUCUGGUCUGUAACUGACGCUCAUGCACGAAAGCGUGGGGAGCAAACAGGAUUAGAUACCCCGGUAGUCCCUGUCUCUUAUAC